UAUUAGUUUUAAUAAAAAUUUAGUAGUAAGUGAUGAUCAUGAAACUAAAAUUAAUUGGCGGCUUUUUAAAUUUUUUAGAGGAAUUUAUUCUAUAAAGGACUCAACACCAAAAUCUUACUUUUACUGGUAAACAGUUUAUAUAUCGCUAUUUAUAAAUACAUAAAUGUAUUUUUAUACUUAAUAAAAAUCCAAUUUUAGGUAAAGAUGUAGCCCAUGUAAAAGAUUGAAAUAAAUUAUAUAAAUUUAUAUUUAACAAAUAACUAGAUGUAAAUAAAUUAUAAGUAAAAUUUAAAAGUAAAUUAAAUAUUUAAGUUUAAUUGAAUAACAAUUUAAAUGUGUACAUAUCGCCCGUCACUCUCUCUCAGAG
This 367-nucleotide ribosomal RNA is filed under the name Euseius fustis. RNAcentral's name for it is "12S ribosomal RNA". Lineage: Eukaryota; Metazoa; Arthropoda; Arachnida; Mesostigmata; Phytoseiidae. The record is from RNAcentral.